GUGCUCGCUUUGGCAGUACGUACACUAAAAUUGGAACAAUACAGAGAAGGUUAGCAUGGCCCCUGUGCAAGGAUUUAAAAAAAAAAAAAAGAUAACUUGAGAAAAUUU
Molecule: small nuclear RNA, 108 nt
Organism: Alexandromys fortis (reed vole)
Lineage: Eukaryota; Metazoa; Chordata; Mammalia; Rodentia; Cricetidae
Source: RefSeq, a predicted model, not a curated record